UACGAAGGGGCUAGCGUUGUUCGGAAUUACUGGGCGUAAAGCGCGCGCAGGCGGCUAUCCAAGUCAGUGGUGAAAGCCCGGAGCUCAACUCCGGAACUGCCAUUGAAACUGUUUAGCUUGAGGAUGAGAGAGGUGAGUGGAAUUCCCAGUGUAGCGGUGAAAUGCGUAGAUAUUGGGAGGAACACCAGUGGCGAAGGCGGCUCACUGGACCGGUACUGACGCUGAGGCGCGAAAGCGUGGGUAGCAAACAGG
RNAcentral lists this ribosomal RNA (252 nucleotides) under uncultured bacterium. RNAcentral's name for it is "partial 16S ribosomal RNA". It matches the Rfam family "Bacterial small subunit ribosomal RNA", at positions 524 to 776 of the family's 1533-position model. The record is from RNAcentral.